AGAAACGGCUGGACGGAGGGAUCGCCUGCCUUACAAGCAGGAUGUCGGCGGUUCGAAACCGUCCGCGCCCA
This 71-nucleotide transfer RNA is filed under the name Streptomyces sp. DSM 40750. RNAcentral's name for it is "tRNA-Val". The record is from RNAcentral. Lineage: Bacteria; Bacillati; Actinomycetota; Actinomycetes; Kitasatosporales; Streptomycetaceae.